GGUCUAGUAGCUCAGUCGGUUAGAGCACUCGCCUGUCACGCGAGAGGUCGAGGGUUCAAGUCCCUUCUAGAUCGCCA
Molecule: transfer RNA, 77 nt
Filed under: bacterium
Lineage: Bacteria
Description: tRNA-Asp
Rfam family: tRNA
About the family: Transfer RNA (tRNA) molecules are approximately 80 nucleotides in length. Their secondary structure includes four short double-helical elements and three loops (D, anti-codon, and T loops).
Source: RNAcentral